RNAcentral lists this ribosomal RNA (501 nucleotides) under uncultured bacterium. RNAcentral's name for it is "partial 16S ribosomal RNA". It matches the Rfam family "Bacterial small subunit ribosomal RNA", at positions 30 to 523 of the family's 1533-position model. The record is from RNAcentral.
AUUGAACGCUGGCGGCAGGCUUAACACAUGCAAGUCGAGCGGAGAUGAGGUGCUUGCACCUUAUCUUAGCGGCGGACGGGUGAGUAAUGCUUAGGAAUCUGCCUAUUAGUGGGGGACAACAUUCCGAAAGGAAUGCUAAUACCGCAUACGUCCUACGGGAGAAAGCAGGGGCUCUUCGGACCUGGCGCUAAUAGAUGAGCCUAAGUCGGAUUAGCUAGUUGGUGGGGUAAAGGCCUACCAAGGCGACGAUCUGUAGCGGGUCUGAGAGGAUGAUCCGCCACACUGGGACUGAGACACGGCCCAGACUCCUACGGGAGGCAGCAGUGGGGAAUAUUGGACAAUGGGGGAAACCCUGAUCCAGCCAUGCCGCGUGUGUGAAGAAGGCCUUAUGGUUGUAAAGCACUUUAAGCGAGGAGGAGGCUACUGAGACUAAUACUCUUGGAUAGUGGACGUUACUCGCAGAAUAAGCACCGGCUAACUCUGUGCCAGCCGCCGCUGUAA